This 71-nucleotide transfer RNA is filed under the name Marmota marmota marmota (Alpine marmot). It matches the Rfam family "tRNA". From Rfam's summary of the family: Transfer RNA (tRNA) molecules are approximately 80 nucleotides in length. Their secondary structure includes four short double-helical elements and three loops (D, anti-codon, and T loops). RNAcentral also lists the same sequence under 1 other name. The record is from Rfam by way of RNAcentral. Lineage: Eukaryota; Metazoa; Chordata; Mammalia; Rodentia; Sciuridae.
GUGACUGUGGCUCAGUGGUAGAGCACUCACCUGGCAUGUGUGAGGCACUGGGUUUGAUCCACAGCACCACA